RNAcentral lists this ribosomal RNA (159 nucleotides) under Alternaria alternata. RNAcentral describes it as "5.8S ribosomal RNA". It matches the Rfam family "5.8S ribosomal RNA". Rfam says of the family: 5.8S ribosomal RNA (5.8S rRNA) is a component of the large subunit of the eukaryotic ribosome. Lineage: Eukaryota; Fungi; Ascomycota; Dothideomycetes; Pleosporales; Pleosporaceae. RNAcentral also lists the same sequence under 2 other names. The record is from RNAcentral.
UACAACUUUCAACAACGGAUCUCUUGGUUCUGGCAUCGAUGAAGAACGCAGCGAAAUGCGAUAAGUAGUGUGAAUUGCAGAAUUCAGUGAAUCAUCGAAUCUUUGAACGCACAUUGCGCCCUUUGGUAUUCCAAAGGGCAUGCCUGUUCGAGCGUCAUU